UAAAACUCAAAAAUCACAAAAAUGCUCUCCCUUCUCUCUAGAAACUCGCCGCCGGCGAGCUAAGUGGUGGUGGUGGUGGCCGGAGUUGCUCCGGCGCGGUGGCCGGCCGUAGCGCCGCCGCGUCGGAGCGUUUUUCUUUUUUUUUUCGAAAUUUUUACAUCAAAAGUUUCGUCACCACCUCCUCUACACAAAUCCGGCGUUAGUUUUAGCGAGAACGGAGCGAUUCGGACUAGAUCUACGUUUUUACUUUGAAUUUUUUUUCACACUUUUCGCAAAAAAAACUACGGAUCUAGAUAUCCUUUUCUCUAUAGAGUCCGAAUCCGGUCUCGGAAUUUCUAAAAUCCGAACGUACAAGCCUAGAUCUACAAAUACAUAUCCGUAACAAACUUUUUCACACUUUUUCUACACUAUAUGCGCGCGCGAAAAUGAAGAAAAAGAGGAGAGAAAUGCGUUACCUCUGUCGUAGAACGGAGAAAAAUCUUCGGAAAACUUCGAAUCUCCCUUUUUCCCCCUCCGUGCGCGCGCGUUUCAACUCCGUUUGUGGUUGUUUUUGCUCAAAAAUCCGGUACGUUUUGGUGUUGAUGUGAUGAUUCGCGGUGGUUUUGAGUGAAUCCGGUUCGGAUUUGUUGAUUUUGUGGUGAUUGGAGUUGAUUCUGAGCAGAUCCGGUUUAGAUCUGUUGAUUUUGGUGAUGAUGUGUUCUUGGUGUUCUUCCUCUUUUUUUUCUGAGAUUUUUCUGUUUUGAUUCUGUUAUGGAUGAGAGAGAGAAAAAGAUUAUGUUUGAGACUGAUUGUGAUUGAUUCUGAUUUUUUUUCUGACUGAUUGUGAUGGAUCUGACACAUUUACUAUUUAUAGCCUGCCAUGUGUAUUGGAGACCCAAUGGAAAAUUGACACCUGGACUGUUUUGGACUUAAGGACUAAUCUACAAAAAGGUUAAUAUGAGGACUAAUCUGCAAUAAAAAAGACUAAAAAAAAUGCAAUUAAAAAAAAAGUAUUGGACAAAAAUGCAAUUUUGGGACCCUUUUGGGGGACCGAAAUGUAAAUAAAAAAUAAAAUGAAUUAAAAUCGGUAAUUGGUAAAAAGGUAAAGUGAAACGAAAAAUAAAAUCAACAAACGGACUAAAACGAACAAAUUACCGACAUGAGGUAUUUUAAAAUACCUCCCUGUCGAAAUUUUGACAGGAAAAGACCAAAAUGCCCCUAGGGACUAAACUGACCCAAACUGACUCAGAUGCAAUUUUUGAAAUAAUUUUUAAACAAAGACUCAACAAUGAUUUGUACAGACAGGUUGAAAAGACUCAGAGGCAAACACAGGGACUAAAAUGGGUUCCACUGCAGGAAAUGACCAAAAUACCCUUUUGUAUGGUUUUUUUGAAAUAAAAUGCAAGAAAAGUAAUGCGACGUUUCAGAGGGUUCUUAAAUGACUUGUAACGUCAGAAAAGACAGAGGCAGUAAAAUAUGUUUUAAGAAAGAGUAAAGAUUCAGAGUAAAAUAACAGAGAACUGACAAAUAUCAGCGUUAAAAAAGAAAUUUGAACGAGUAUUUUUAGGUCCAAAAUCAGGGUAUAACAGCUGCCCCUAUUUAAGUUUCUUUGUCUGGAGGGUCAAGAGACGGAGUCUUUGACUUGACGGGACGAAGAUACUUAAAUAUUAACAUUGCACUGUGUUUGGACGUAAAAAUACGCUUGUACAUUUUCAAAUAUCAUGAAUGCCAUGCAACAUUUGGAUUAUGAGUGCAAGACAAACGAAAACUGGAAUUAACAAAAGAUGCCGUAUCCAUUGCGGGAUUGGUAGACAUUGGUAAGAUAACAGAUAACAGGGUAGAUAGGAGGCUAGGAACAAAUUGACGGGUACAAGCUGCUCUUGGAUUGAGCUGGGCACUUGACCAGGAAUAAAAGCAGACAAACAGGUGCGAGUUGUUCUUGGAUUCGAACUAGUCACUCGACCGGGGACAUGGAGAAGACAGGUACGAGUUGUUCUUGAUUCGAACUGGUCACUCGACUGAAAGCAAGGCAAAUAGACAGGUGCGAGCUUGUUCUUGGAUGCGAACUGGUUACUCCACCGGAGUCAAAGACAAAUAGACAGGCGCAAGCUGCUCUUGGAUCGAGCUAGCCACUUGAGCGAACAGAAACAGAUAGACGGGUACAAGCUGUUCUUGGACUUGAACUAGCCACUUGACCAAAAUCAUAGACACAUAGACAGGUACGAGCCGUUCUUGGAUUCGAACUGGUAACUCGACCGAUAACAUUGAAAAGUAAACGGGUACAAGUCAUUCUUGGAUGCGAACUGGUAACUUGACCAAACAGAAACAUAUUGACAGGUACAAGCUGCUCUUGGAUUGAGCUGGGCACUCGACCGAUAACAUAAGCAAAUUGAUAGGUACAAGCUGUUCUUGGACUUGAACUAGCCACUUGACCGAACAGAAACAAAUUCACAGGGGAUUAGUUUUUUUGACAAAAUAUAGGUUGAAAUUGACUUGACGUCGAUUUGAUUUGAAAGGUAGAAAUUGACCAAUAUUAUUGGCUCACAAGGUUUUGACAGAGAACCCGACAUGAGUAUUGAGUUGAGACUGUUGUUGAUAUUGGAAAUGCAAUAUGCAUGAAUGAUAUAACAGUUUCAUUAAAUGCGUGGGCACGUAAUAUGCAUGAUUAUGCAUGUAUGAAUGCUUGUAAUGCAUGACUGUUGGCGAUUUGUAGACACAGUUUCGCAGAGACAGACAAGACAUUGGAGUAUUGGGCACGUAGUGGCUCGUGCUAUAUUACACAUUCCUGAAAAUCCUCUUUGGAGAUGACGUCGUUGGGAGACGUAUCGGGACCAUGGCUGAGGGCAGGUAGCUAUGCAACUUGCUGGGGAUAGAAUCUCGGGAAACUCUACUGGGAAUAAUGUCGGAUGUAUCGUGGAUGUCGCAUCUGUGGUCAAUGCUUUUUGCAUGUUAUUUUUUCAAUUUUCAUUCAUUCAUUUUUUUUGCAUCCCAUUUUUGCCUGGAUCGCCCUUUCGGGUUUUCGAUCCACCGGGGAAAUAAAUUCUUUUCAAUGCCCCAUUUUUGCCUGAACUGCCCUUUCGGGUUGUCAAUCCAGCGGGGUGCUCAUUUUUGCCUAAGCCACCCUUCCGGGUUUUCAACUUAGCGAGCCUAUUCAUUUUCAUGCAUUUUCAUUCUGUUUUUUCAUUCUUGCCAUUGACCACAGACUAUCCUGGAGGAGAACCUGCUUGUAACAUACGUUGAAAUAGACACCAACAUACACUCGCUCAUGCAUGUUCGUUUGAAUGUACCCUGUUGCUCAGGUUUGCUUUUCAAAAAACUUUUUCCAAUUUUCCAGAUGUUUGUUUCGAGCAUUUGUCAUUAUUAAAAAUAGAAGGAAAAUGUUUUUGUACAUAUCUUUGAAAGUAAAAAGAAAGCAGAGUUUCAAACAAAAGCACAGGCUCAAAUUGAUGUAUAAGAGUGGUGGUCAGCCGAAGGCGUGACUCCACGGAUUUACAAAGCUUGGAAAAUGGUAAUUUUUAUUGGUUGGUGAUACAUUGAACACAGCAAUCAUGACAUUUCCUAGGAACUUUGAAUUCGCAAGCGUAGGGGCUUUUGAUGAAGAUGGCCAUUAACAGCUGCAGAUGCCCCAAGGGAGACGGUGGUUGACCAGAUAUAGUUACUUGCCUUUUGUUUCAAUCUCAUUUUUGCAUGAACCGCCCUUCCGGGUUUUCGGCUCAUCGAGACGCUCAUUCUUGCCUGAGUUGCAUGCAAUCGCAGCGAGCUUUUUAUAUAAUUUUUUUUUGUGUCCCUUAUUUUUGCCUGGACCGCCCUUUCGGGUUUUCGAUCCACCGGGAAGCGCAUUUUUGCCUAGGCCGCCCUUUCGGGUUUUCGACCUACCACGCUGUUCUUUUCACAUUUCUAGGCAAAGUAUUUCUUGACUAUAUCGGCAUUCACUGGAUUUGGAAGUUCUACACCAUCCAUGUGUGUAAGGAUUAAAGCACCACCGGAGAAGGCCUUCUUGACAACAUAAGGACCUUCAUAGUUAGGUGUCCACUUGCCCCUUGGGUCGGGUUGCUGGCUUACCCUCCUUUUCAAUACAAGUUCUCCUACCUUGAAUUCUCGAGGAUGGACUUUCUUGUCAAAGGCAGUCUUCAUUCUUGCUUGAUAUGACUGUCCACGAGCCAUGGCAUCCAUACAUUUUUCCUCAAUCAAAUUCAACUGAUCAUACCGGCUCUGGCACCAUUCAGCCUCAGAUAACUUUGCUUCCAUGAUCACACGGAGAGAUGGGAUCUCCACUUCCAAAGGAAGAACUGCUUCCAUACCAUAUACAAGAGAGAAAGGGGUUGCCCCGGUUGAACUGCGCAUGGUAGUACGGUAGCCAUGCAGAGCAUAGGGUAGCAUCUCAUGCCAGUCCUUGUAAGUGGUUACCAUCUUUUGGACAAUUCUCUUGAUAUUCUUGUUGGCGGCCUCAACGGCACCAUUCAUCUGAGGUCUAUAAGGAGAAGAGUUAUGAUGCUCAAUUUUGAAUUCUUCACAAAGAGCUUGCACCACAUUGUUAUUCAGGUUGGUACCAUUGUCGGUAAUAAUCUUGCUGGGAACACCAUAUCGACAGAUGAUGCUGUUCUUGAUGAACUUAGCUACCACUUGCUUGGUCACAUUGGUAUAAGAUGAUGCUUCAACCCACUUGGUGAAGUAGUCAAUUGCCACUAAGAUGAAACGAUGACCAUUUGAAGCCUUCGGUUCAAUUCUUCCAAUCAUGUCGAUGCCCCACAUUGAAAACGGCCAUGGGGAUGAAAUAAUGUUGAGAGCGUGCGGAGGCACAUGAAUCUUAUCAGCAUAGAUUUGACAUUUGUGGCACUUUCUGGCGUGUUGAUAGCAAUCAUGCUCCAUGGCCAUCCAGUAGUAACCUGCCCGUAACAACUUCCUUGACAUAGUAUGCCCUGUAGCAUGGGUCCCGAAGGUACCAUCAUGUACAUCAUGCAUUAACUGCUCUGCUUCGUGUUCAUCAACACACCUUAAUAAUACCAUGUCAUAGUUUCUUUUGUACAGAAUAUCUCCAUCUAACAUGAAUCUACUGGCCAAUCUUCUCAGGGUCUUCUUGUCUUGAUUGGAAGCACCUGGCGGAUACUCACGGCUCAGCAAGAACUGUUUGAUGUCGUAGUACCAGGGUUUAUAGUCAACCAUAUUUUCACCAGCCUGAUCGAUCACAUCCCCAAUAGCAAACACAUGUGAAGGUCUUUCAAGGCGUUGCACUUUGAUUAUUGGCACAUCAUUCCAAUGGUUUACUUGAAACAUGGAGGAUAGAGUAGCAAGAGCAUCAGCCAUUUGGUUCUCAUCACGAGGAAUAUGGUGCAGCUCAACCUUUGUAAAAUAUGUCAGCAAACGUCUCGCAUAAUCACGAUAAGGAAUCAACUUGGCAUGGUGGGUCUCCCAUUCACCCUUUAUCUGAUUGAUGACGAGCGCAGAAUCUCCAUAGAUGUCGAGGUGUUUGAUUCUCAUGUCAAUUGCUUCCUCGAUCCCAAAGAUACAUGCUUCAUACUCAGCCAUAUUGUUUGUACAUUCGAACAGAAUUCUGGCGGUAAAAGGGAUGUGAUGCCCCUGUGGGGAUACAAUGACUGCCCCAAUUCCCUUACCAUAAGCAUUGACAGCACCAUCAAAGACUAAACCCCACUUGCUAUUGGGAUCUGGACCUUCAUCAAUCAACGGUUCUUCGCAGUCUUUUGAUUUUAAAUACAUGAUCUCUUCAUCGGGGAAAUCGAACUCAAUUGGUUGGUAAUCAUCAAGAGGUUGGUAAGCAAGAUGAUCGGCAAGAAUGCUACCUUUGAUUCCCUUUUGAGUUUUGAACACAACAUCGUAUUCAGACAAAAGCAUCUGCCAGCGUGCAAUCUUCCUAGUAACAGCAGCUUUCUCAAAGAUAUACUUUAUCGGAUCCAUUCUGGAUAUCAACCACGUUGUAUGAUUCACCAAAUAAUGACGCAGGCGUUUAGCGGCCCAGGCCAAAGCGCAACAAGUCUUCUCAAGCAUUGUAUACCGAGUUUCACAAUCGGUGAACUUCUUGCUUAGAUAGUAGAUAGCAUGUUCUUUCUUUCCAGUCUCAUCUUGUUGACCAAGUACGCAUCCCAUGGAUUCAUCAAAUACUGCCAAAUACAUAAUCAAAGGCCUUCCUUCCACGGGUGGGACAAGGAUAGGUGGUUCCAGCAGGUAAUUCUUGAUGCUAUCAAAAGCUUCUUGGCAUUCAUCAUUCCAUACAACAGGCUGAUUCUUUCUGAGUAGCUUGAAGAUCGGCCCGCAGGUUGCGGUCAUGUGAGAUAUGAAUCGGGAGAUGUAAUUCAAACGUCCGAGGAAACCUCUGACUUGCUUCUCGGUCUGUGGAGCUGGCAUUUCUCGGAUGGCCCGGACUUUAUCAGGAUCGACUUCAAUGCCCUUUUGGCUGACAAUGAAGCCUAAUAACUUCCCGGAUCUGACGCCGAAUGUACAUUUGUUGGGAUUCAAUCGAAGCUUGUAUUUUCUCAACCUUUCGAACAUCUUCGUCAAAUACUCAACAUGUUGCUCCUCAUCUGUUGACUUCACAAUCAUGUCGUCCACAUAUACUUCGACUUCUUUGUGAAUCAUGUCAUGAAACAGAGUAGUCAUUCCUCUUUGGUAGGUAGCACCAGCAUUUAUUAGGCCGAACGGCAUCACUUUGUAGCAGAAAGUACCCCAUGGAGUGAUAAAAGACGUCUUUUCUCUAUCUUCAGGAGACAUUUUGAUCUGAUUGUAACCGGAGAAACCAUCCAUGAAGGAGAACACCUUAGACUGAGCAGUGUUAUCAACGAGCACAUCAAUAUGAGGUAAUGGAAAGUUGUCUUUUGGACUAGCUUUGUUCAGGUCUCUGAAGUCAACACACAUCCGGACUUUACCAUCCUUCUUUGGCACAGGUACAAUAUUGGCAACCCAUUCAGGGUACUCAACUGUCAUGAGGAAACCCGCAUCAAUCUGUUUUUGAACCUCGCUCUUAAUCUUGAGAGCCAUAUCUGGAUGAGUCCUUCUCAAUUUCUGCCUGACGGGAGGACAUUCAGGCUUGGUGGGGAUCCGAUGCUCCACAAUCAUAGGAUCUAGACCUGGCAUAUCUUCAUACGACCAUGCAAAAAUAUCCGGAUAUUCCUGGAGGAGUUGGAUGAUCUUCUUUUUAACCCCUUCCUCUAGAGCAGCACCGAUCUUGAUUUCUCGCUUGUUCUCCUCGGUACCUAUGUUGAUAAGCUCAAUCUCUUCCUGGUGAGGCUGAAUGGCUUUCUUUUCUUGCUCAAGUAGCCGAGUGAUCUCAUAUGGUAUGUCAUCACCUUCCUCAUCUUCGGCUUCAUACACUAGGAAUUCAAAAUCCAGAGGGAAUGCAGGGUUACUGUGCCCAACGGGUUUAUUAUAGUUCAAUCUGCGUAAAAUGGUUGGAUGAUUUUAGAAAGAGGUUUUUUAUGCAGAUUUUGAAAUUAAUAAGAAAAUACAGAUGUUUUGGUUUUUUCUGGCAUUACCAUUAUUUCCAAGGAAAAAAGACACUAAAAAAAAGCAGUCGUGAAAGAAACGACAAUUUUUUAUUAAUCAAUGGCAAUGCCGAAACAAACAUGCCCUUACAGAAAAUAUCACUCUCGCUUUGGGCAGAGCGAGAGGAUUGUUAUUUUGAAAAAACAAGAUACUUAAGCAACAAGGUAUAUUACUCAGAAACAUGCAUGAUUGAGGGAAUGUCAAUGGCAUCCCAAUCUCUCGCAAUGCCUCCUGGUGUAACAAAUACAGGCCUCGGGCCAAAUCCAGUUGCUUCUUCUGUGAUUGCGUUGACAAACCCAGCACUAUAGAAUGCCCCGGUGGAAACUCCUGAAGUUGGGGAAAAGCCAAGACCUUCCUUAUGCUUGUUCUCACGAAGCUGUAUUAACCUGCCCCAGCCGGCAGCUUGACCCUCUUGGACGGCUCUCUAUGCAUCCUUCAAAGAAGCCAUUGCAGUCCCAUCCCUCUUGGGCUCCGUACCUUCGACAGUUAAUCCUUGAAAAGCGGUCCCCUCUGCAGACCCUGCCUCUAUGCAAGAGAAAGAUGAUAGCUGGCUAACCAGGUAUGCCUCCUCUCCAUGAAUGGUAACAAGCUUUCCACUUUUUGCAAAUUUCAACUUUUGGUGCAAAGUAGAGGUCACCGCUCCUGCGUCAUGUAUCCAUGGUCUCCCCAAGAGACAGCUGUAAGAGGCAUUAAUAUCCAUGACCUGAAAGGUGAUUAGAAAGGUUUCGGGGCCGAUAGUUAUGGGCAAGUUUAUCUCCCCGAGAACACUCUUGCGGGUUCCAUCAAAGGCUUUGACCAGAAAAGUGCUCCUCCUCAAGGGAGUUCCCCGGUAACUCAGCUGAUCCAGCGUUGACUUGGGCAUCACGUUCAAAGAUGAGCCAGUGUCUACUAACACAUUUGAGAUCAUGUCGGACUUGCAAUUCACAGAGAUAUGCAAGGCCAGAUUAUGAUGCUUUCCUGCUUCGGGCAAUUCAUCUUCACUGAACCACAGGUUGCUGCAGGCGGUAAUGUUCCCCACUAUGCUACCAAAGUGAUCCACAGUUACUUCAUGAUCCACAUAAGCCUGCUCCAAUACUUUCAAAAGGGUAUCUCUGUGAGCAGCGGAACUCAGGAGUAGAGACAAAAUGGAUAUCUUCGACGGAGUUUGCAACAGCUGAUCCACAAUCUUAUAAUCACUUCUUUUGAUCAACCUCAAAAUCUCGUCCAGAUUAGAAUCCUCUAUAGACCGGCCUUGUUGGCUCGCGUCUCUGUUAACGGGAGAAACAUCAAUCGGGGUUGGCUUGUCAAUGGAUGGCACGGUAGGCGUAGCGGCCUUCUUUUGAAACAACGGUGGACGGACUCUUCCGCUUCUAAGGGCUGCUGAAGUUCCUUCGGCGGUAUUGUUCAUCACAGCCAAGGACACCAGAGGCACUUCUACUCCGUUUUCGAUUAUGGUAGCAUUAUAUUUGUACGGGAUAGCCCUAUCUGAAGUAUACGGUACCGGUCCGGGCAACCUUAUCACCAGUGGCUCAGCAUUCUCCUUCAAAGGCAUACUCUUGACAGGCGGAUCGUGAAAAACUGACACAAUCACGCAGACAUCACUAACAGUCAAAAAAUUAUCAUUCAUCAAGCUUUGGAUGUCGUCUUGAACAGUAUAGCAACCCAAAGGAUUACGAAGGCAUCCUAGGCACUCGGCAUGAUCAUGGCUGAACAGAGAAGCUUUGCACAGCUUGAUGUGUAGAGGCACCAGAGGAGUUGCGACGUUACGGACAUCAAGUCUAGGAGCUUCCUCACAUACUUUGAUCAUAUUUACAGCGGCAUGAUUUGGAAGAGGAUUGUCGAGGACGUGCGGGACAUUAUUCUCAAAAGUCAGCUUUCCUUGAUCAAUGAGCUUUUUCACGAUAUACUUCAAAGCAUAGCACCCCUCGACAUCAUGACCCAAGGCGCCUUGAUGAAAAUCACAUUUGAGAUCGGACCUGAACCUUGGAGGCAACGGAUCAGGUGGGGGCUUGCCCUGUCUAGUUGUACAAUGCCCUCUAUGGAGUAAAGUCGGAAGCAACUCAGCAUACAACAUCGGUAUCGGAGGGAAAGUAGGUCUAGCUUGCUGAUUUUGUUGUUGUUGUUCAACUGGCAACUGUUGUUUCAUCUGUUGAGCGAUUGCAUUAACGGGUACUUGAGGUUGACCCGGUGGCAGAGGGUACUGAUGAUAAAAUGGCGGAAAGAAAGGAUGCUGAGAAUACGGCGCAUAUGGGUAUGACGGAGGCAUUUGGGCUGCAUUGAUAGGAGCAACAGUAGCCAUGGAUUGACCGGCUCCAGCUGACACCAUCCCUACUUCCGUUUCUUUCUUCUUGUGGUGUCCAUUACCAUACCUCUUUGAUGCAUUCACAGAAGAUUCAGCUUUCUCGAACACAAUGAUUCCUUCCCUGACGGCUUCCUCCAGACGAGUUCCCAUGGUGACCAUCUCCGAAAAGUUAUUCGGGGCAGCGAUGAUCAUUCUCUCAACAUAAUCCUUCUUCAAGGUCUUUAAGAAUGUCUGGGUCAUUUCUUCUUCAUCAAGAGCGGGAGUAAUGCGGGCAGCUGCCCCCCUCCAUCUCUGUGCGUAUUCACGGAAGCUUUCCUCCUUCUUCUGGGAGAGAGAUCUGAGGAAUUCCCUGUUCGGCUUCAAUCUGGUGUUAAACCCAUAGUGGCUCUUGAAAGCAGCGGCUAAUUCAUCAAAGGUAUGGAUGUCAUUUUUGCUCAAACUAGUAUACCACUCUGCAGCAUCUUCCAUCAAGCUAUCCUGGAAGCAGUGGAUCAUAAGGGAAUCAUUGUCUUUGUAAUUGCCCAUCUUUCGGACGUACUUGAUGAUGUGGUUCUGGGGACAAGUCAGCCCGUUGUAUCGGUCGAAAUCUGGGAUUUUGAACUUCUUAGGGACAUCCACCUUUGACACCAAGCAGAGAUCUUGAGUUUUGAAAGAGUCCGCAUUCCCUCGAUUGGCUUUAAUUUCAUGACGGAUUUCUUUAGCAAGUUCCUCCAUCAUCUCUUCCAUGGUUUUGGUCACGGGGAUGUUUCCGUGCUGUGUGUUGAUGUUAACACUUUGAGGCCUGGUAUGCACAAGAGGCUCAGUGACAGCUGCCGUUGUUUGUGGCAAAGUAGUAUUGAUGGAGACAACAUUUGUUGCAGGAAUCAGAACAUUGUUAGCAGUGCCCGAAGUGCCCGCUGCAGUACUGGGAGUGAAGAACGGUGGAAGCCCAUACGGAAACCCAGCUGGCAUAGCGAAGCGAGCGUCUGUAGAUGCAGUUGGGAGCAUGCUUGUAGUCACCGGUAUAGCUGUGGCUAUAGGGAUAGCCGUGGCUGAUUGUUCUUGAGCGGCUAGUAAAGCGGUCAUGACAUCAUUGGCCUUAGCCAAUUCUUCCCUUAGAGUGGCUAACUCGGUACGGAGCUGAGCAUUCUCUUCUUCCAUGGCUGCCGAAUUCUUCUUUCUGUAGAGUCUAGUCCGGUGUAUUCUGUCUGAUUCGUAAACUUUCCGAGCACGAGCCACCUUUCAAUCUCUGUGGCAGAAGAACCAGGAGGCAGUGAGCACUUGUAAACCUUUUGUGGCUUGAUGAAUGAUGCACAUGAUGCAUGAUAUGUACAAAUGCAAAUGCAAAAGUUUUUUUUGGACAUCGAAGAAUUUUUAGACAAAUUAGGAGUUUUGUAAACAAUAUCUAAACAAACAAAGCAAAACGAAGUGUUUACAAGAUGAAUCCCUUUGAAAUACUAAGCCAAGGGAAGACUUUUGAAAUAUAAACAAAUAAAACUCUCAAGCAUAGGAAGUAGUGGGAUGAUCCUCAGACUCAGACUCCGAAUCCGAACCGCAGUAUCUAGCAUAGAAGUUGCGUCGUCCUCUAGCUCUCUUGGAGUCCCGCAUAAGCAGCUCAUCCUUUUCUUCAAGUUCCCUUCGGACCUUGACCAAUUCCUUCUUCAACAUCAGGUUCUCAUGAGUCUUCUGCUCGUCCUUACCAUCCAAAGUCAUGAUUAGAUUCUCAGCCUCAUUGUAUCGGGCUUUCCACAUUUGUUUCUCACGACUUUCCAUGGCCAGAUGCUCCUGAUACAUCUCCUGAGUUGUGGGAGGUAGAGGUAAAGGUAUAGAUGGAGCAGAUGCAGCCACAUGUCUCAUAGCAGGGUAUGGCAUACCAAUCUCUUCAGCUCGGUUUAUUACCCACUGAGUAUAGGCCUCAUGAGCAAUACCAGAUCUCACACCCAAAUGCUUCACACUCUUCCUACGGACCUUAGACCAAGCCCUUGUGAAAGCCUCCCUUUGUCCGGUGGGGGCGUUCGAAUAAUAGAAGAACUCCGGAGAUGUAGCAAGAUUGAUGGGCUUUGUCUUCAUAGGGAACCCAAACUGUCUCAUAGCAAGCUCCGGAUUGUAGUUGAUUCCCCCACGGGUACCAAGAAGAGGUACAUUGAGAAAGUCUCCACAACUAGUAAUAAUCUCCUUAACCUGAGCGGCGGGAGUGAUCUAGACCACCUCGUUAGGAGAGAGAGCCAUCAUCCGCUGUGAGUAGGACCAAUCCUCCGAGUUGUCAUGGAAGGAGCUCGGAAGGUGAGAAAUAAACCACCUAUAUAGGAGAGGCACGCAGCAAAGGAUAUACCCACGACCUUUGAGAGUCCGGUCAUGGAUAGCAUGGUACAUGUCAGCUAGCAAGGUAGGAACCGGAUUCCUAGAAUGGAAGAUCUCAAUAGCAUUCAUGUCCACAAAGUUGUCGAGAUUCGGGAAGAGAAUGAGCCCAUAGAUAAGCAAUGCAAGAAUAGCCUCGAGUGCGUCCUGACAAGUAGUUUUGAGAUUAGCUUGCUCAAGUAGAUACUUGGAAGUGAACCCUCGGAUGUGGGACUUAGUAGUAAGAUGCUUGGAGACAUCAGAAGUCUUGAGAUAGAGAUCCUUGGCAAUAACCAGAGGAGUAAGAGAAGCCCCGGGACCGGUGAAAGGCGUUUUCUCGGCUAUAGGUGAAUCCAAUAAGUGGGAAUAAGCCUCAAGAGUAGGGACCAACUGGAAAUCCGGGAAAGUGAAGCAACGGAAACUCGGGUCAUAGAAUUGCACUAGAGUGUGCACGAGCUUCUCUUCAACAUUAGUCCGGAGAAUAGUAAGCAAACCACCAUACCGGAGUCGGAAACCCGUUUGAUUCUUCACCUUGAGUGCCAAAUCUCUCAAACUAACCAAAUCAACCUCCUUGAACUUGUAGGAUUUAGUCUUCUUCAUACCUGUAAUGUUUACAAAACUUUUUAAUUUGUCCAAUCCUUCGAUGAAUGCAUGAGAAAAAAUUUAUGCAUGAAUGCAUGUAUGCAUGAUUGUUUUUUCAGUUACAAAGAAAACAUGGAGGGUUGAGAUUAAAGUCGAGGAGCCAAGGGCGGACACGGUGCCCGGUAAACUAAGGCUUAGGAUAAUAGUAACCAAGGUUCUAAUCAAGUUCCCAAACUGCAACCUCUCUUACGUAUAUCAUGGUAGCACGGGACAACGUCCGUUCCAUGUUUAUUCGCAAGAAGGUCUAGUUUGACUGUAGUAUCGCGUGACGACUAAAACUCGAGACAACACUCGGUUUCAAGCAUUGGACAUGCUCAGUGGGACGACAAAUUGAAAUUCUUGUUUCUCGCUCACUAAACUUCAACACAACUUUUUGUCUUAAGUACAAAUUGUUUAAAAUAUCAAAAUAGUCUUUUGUCCAUCAUACAUUGUAUGAGACAAAAAAUUCAAUACCAUAAAAGUUUGUCAUGUAUUGUUUUUUGACUUGUAUUGUGUUGUUAUGUCUUGUGUUUGAUCUGCAUGGUAUAGAACAUAACAAUGCAACACAAAACAUAACAACACACGAUAAAAUUUUAUGGUAUUGGACAAUUUUAUGCCAUAUACAAUAUUUGGCAAGCAAAAGAAUAUUUUAGGAUUUUAGACAACCACACGCUUCUCUCUCUUUUUUUUAAACAAAAAUUGGAAGUGGAAAAGAUCAAUGUGAUUAAUUAACAUCUAAUUGUGACCUAAUAGCCACAAUUAUGGGUUGCAAAACCUAAGUUUCUCCUAUCAAAAUAUUCAAGGCCCAAGCACUACCUGUAACCCAUCACUUAUUUUUAAGCUUGAGUAUGACAUUUUAAAUGUCUAAUAUAACAUGUUAGCUUAUUUAAAAUCAUAUUUGAUAUGGACAUGUUUAAAUAAGUGUUCACACAAAACAAAACAAAACAAAAAGUAGUUGAAUCAUAUAUUUUCCACUAGAUUAAAGUGGAAUAUUUGGCUAUCAUUUGCAUCUUAAUCAACGUUGGAAUCAACUGAUGCAAAAUCAGCUCACAUCUAAUGCUAAAUCGGCUAACAAUUGGAUCAGAUCACAAUUUAUGUUGAAUCGACUAACAACUGUGUUAUCGCGAUUUUCGGGUGUCAAGUCAUUAAUUAUGCUUGAACCUUUCAAUCUUUGAUAUUCUCUAUUUUUUCUUGGGAAGGGCGAAAUUGAGAAAAAACCCUUAGAUUCUAAGUUCGGGGGUCGCUUUCGCUACGGGAAGGUGUUAGGCACCCGGAACGAUUAUGGUAUUCCAUAAGAACCGUUCUCCUAAGUUUAUUUCUACGCUUUAUUUUUAUUGCCUACUUAUUAAAAAAGAAGUUUUAUUUGAGUGAAGAAUGGGGGGGAGAAAGUGUUUGAGGUUUUAUUUUAGUGGACUUGGAGAGGUUUUGACCUCAUGCCUACAUACCCAUUUAAGGGAUCAAACUCCAUGUAGUUCUCUCUCAAAAAAUGUUUUUUUUUUGUGUGUUUGGUUGAUUUUAGUUUUUGUUGGAAAAUGGUUUUGAAGAAGAGGAAGAGGCCUUAAAGGCAUAAGAGAGAAAAAUGUUGAAUGGUUGGUUCAAUUGUUAUUAAAAAAGUCUAAGUAGGAAUUAGGAGUCAUUUGGAUUUGUUUAAGAAAAUAAAAGAAAAAAUUCAAUGGAGUUUUGACUCCAAGGUUUGUUUGGAAAAAUUUGAGUGAUGGAAUUGGUUUAUUAUUUUCUUGAAAAUUGGCAUUUGUCUAAAAAUCGCGUUUCCUAAGCAUACAUCUAAACGGUAAUCAUGCAACGUGUGUGCGUGUCGGUGCUUGUGUCGGUGUACAUCACUUAUAGUGUCCAUAGUCCUUUACAUUGAGUCCUAAAUACAUGCUAUGGUCUUGCAAGGAAUUUAAAAAAGAACUAAUCUAUCUAAAAUUAUUACAAACUCAAUUGAUAUAGAAAUGAAUAAAAAAAAUGAUGCUAGAACUAUGUGAUGAAUGAAAUGUGAGAUGAACUGGUUAGUAUCAUAAGGCAUAAAAAUAGUAGAAAGGUAAACAAAAUUGAAUAGAAGAGCAAGAGAAAAAAAAAGGUAAUGAAAUGAAAUAAAGUGGCAAAAUAUACCUAGAAUUAGGUAUAACACUUAGACAUGCAUAUGGCUUAUAAUUCUCUCAUCAUAGCCAUUUUUAAAAGAGAUUUGAUUUUAAGCUACAAUGUGAGGAUCAUAAAAACACACAAACAAAGCAUCAUACCAUAUUCCUAGGGAUAUUUUCUACACAUUAUUUAACAUGCAAAAAAAAUAAAAAUAUCACAAAAUGUCAAAAAAUGCACCAAGAACAUAUAGGAAUUUAAUGAGCAAGAAUUAAAAAGAACAAAUGAAGAAAAUAAAAAAAAUAAGCAAGUAAAUUCUAACAUUUAGAGAAAAAAUUAAAAUGAUAGGGAAACAUUUUUAGAAAAUUUUUAGGAGCAUAAAAUGCCAAGAAAGUGUAAAAAAGUAUUUAAAAACACAACAAAAAAGCAAUUAAAAAGAGGCUCAGCAGGAUUUAAUCUGGUCCGCUGGAUGAAUCCAGAGGUCCAGAUCUAACUCCCAAGAUCACAUCACAGCCACUGGAUCAAAGAUCCAAGGGUCCAAAAAAAAGCACAAAAGAUAGUGUAAAAUGCAGGAAGCACAGUGACCGUUAGAUCAAAGAUCUAACGGUUCAAACAGAAGAUAUAACAUAUUCCACACAAAAAAUCACACACAGGAUUCAAAAUCAAACACACAGCAGCCAUCAGAUCUUGGAACAAUCCAGAUCUGAUGGUUCACAGAGCGAAGGAACACCACAGAAGCAUGCACGCGCGCGCGUGGGAACGGAGGGAGUAUAUAAAGGAAUUUUCACACAAAAAACACAUAAACCUCUUCUCCUUCUCUCUCUAAAACUCAAAAAUCACAAAAAUGCUCUCCCUUCUCUCUAGAAACUCGCCGCCGGCGAGCUAAGUGGUGGUGGUGGUGGCCGGAGUUGCUCCGGCGCGGUGGCCGGCCGUAGCGCCGCCGCGUCGGAGCGUUUUUCUUUUUUUUUCGAAAUUUUUACAUCAAAAGUUCCGUCACCACCUCCUCUACACAAAUCCGGCGUUAGUUUUAGCGAGAACGGAGCGAUUCGGACUAGAUCUACGUUUUUACUUUGAAAUUUUUUUCACACUUUUCGCAAAAAAAACUACGGAUCUAGAUAUCCUUUUCUCUAUAGAGUCCGAAUCCGAUCUCGGAAUUUCUAAAAUCCGAACGUACAAGCCUAGAUCUACAAAUACAUAUCCGUAACAAACUUUUUCACACUUUUUCUACACUAUAUGCGCGCGCGAAAAUGAAGAAAAAGAGGAGAGAAAUGUGUUACCUCUGUCGUAGAACGGAGAAAAAUCUUCGGAAAACUUCGAAUCUCCCUUUUUCCCCCUCCGUGCGCGCGCGUUUCAACUCCGUUUGUGGUUGUUUUUGCUCAAAAAUCCGGUACGUUUUGGUGUUGAUGUGAUGAUUCGCGGUGGUUUUGAGUGAAUCCGGUUCGGAUUUGUUGAUUUUGUGGUGAUUGGAGUUGAUUCUGAGCAGAUCCGGUUUAGAUCUGUUGAUUUUGGUGAUGAUGUGUUCUUGGUGUUCUUCCUCUUUUUUUCUGAGAUUUUUCUGUUUUGAUUCUGUUAUGGAUGAGAGAGAGAAAAAGAUUCUGUUUGAGACUGAUUGUGAUUGAUUCUGAUUUUUUUUCUGACUGAUUGUGAUGGAUCUGACACAUUUACUAUUUAUAGCCUGCCAUGUGUAUUGGAGACCCAAUGGAAAAUUGACACCUUGACUGUUUUGGACUUAAGGACUAAUCUGCAAAAAGGUUAAUAUGAGGACUAAUCUGCAAUAAAAAAGACUAAAAAAAAUGCAAUUAAAAAAAAAGUAUUGGACAAAAAUGCAAUUUUGGGACCCUUUUGGGGGACCGAAAUGUAAAUAAAAAAUAAAAUGAAUUAAAAUCGGUAAUUGGUAAAAAGGUAAAGUGAAACGAAAAAUAAAAUCAACAAACGGACUAAAACGAACAAAUUACCGACAUGAGGUAUUUUAAAAUACCUCCCUGUCGAAAUUUUGACAGGAAAAGACCAAAAUGCCCCUAGGGACUAAACUGACCCAAACUGACUCAGAUGCAAUUUUUGAAAUAAUUUUUAAACAAAGACUCAACAAUGAUUCGUACAGACAGGUUGAAAAGACUCAGAGGCAAACACAGGGACUAAAAUGGGUUCCACUGCAGGAAAUGACCAAAAUACCCUUUUGUAUGGUUUUUUUGAAAUAAAAUGCAAGAAAAGUAAUGCGACGUUUCAGAGGGUUCUUAAAUGACUUGUAACGUCAGAAAAGACAGAGG
Molecule: long non-coding RNA, 17037 nt
Filed under: Medicago truncatula (barrel medic)
Lineage: Eukaryota; Viridiplantae; Streptophyta; Magnoliopsida; Fabales; Fabaceae
Description: long non-coding RNA (MTRU_LNC004092)
Rfam family: MIR2680 microRNA precursor family (bases 7046-7213)
Source: RNAcentral